GAUGAAGAACGUAGCGAAAUGCGAUACGUAAUGUGAGUUGCAGAAUUCAGUGAAUCAUCGAGUCUUUGAACGCACAUUGCGCCCCCUGGUAUUCCGGGGGGCAUGCCUGUCCGAGCGUCAUUGCUGCCCUCAAGCACGGCUUGUGUGUUGGGCCUCCGUCCUCCUCCCGGGGGACGGGCCCGAAAGGCAGCGGCGGCACCGCGUCCGGUCCUCGAGCGUAUGGGGCUUCGUCACCCGCUCUUGUAGGCCCGGCCGGCGCUUGCCGACACAUCAAUCUUUUUUCCAGGUUGACCUCGGAUCAGGUAGGGAUACCCGCUGAACUUAAGCAUAUCAAUAAGCGGAGGA
RNAcentral lists this unclassified non-coding RNA (345 nucleotides) under soil metagenome. Its description in RNAcentral is "partial contains 5.8S ribosomal RNA, internal transcribed spacer 2, and large subunit ribosomal RNA". The stretch from base 1 to 120 matches the Rfam family "5.8S ribosomal RNA", at positions 35 to 154 of the family's 154-position model. The record is from RNAcentral.